Molecule: long non-coding RNA, 1055 nt
Filed under: Lactuca sativa (garden lettuce)
Lineage: Eukaryota; Viridiplantae; Streptophyta; Magnoliopsida; Asterales; Asteraceae
Description: long non-coding RNA (LSAT_LNC002012)
Source: RNAcentral
UGACGAAGAGGAGUGACAUUCAUGAAGAGAAGGAUGGGAGAUCGAAAGAAAGACGGAGGAAAUGCGAAGAAAUCGAAGAAGACGGAGUCGAAUUGGCCACUCAUUAAGCCUAAAUCUAAUCUCCGUGUUACUCGCCUAAAAGAUUACGAUCUAUUUACUGUAUGUUACCUAUGUAUUUCUUCCCCAACCAAUUUCUGUGUUUAUAGUCAGUUUAACUUUAUCUUUUUUUCUCAUUUAUAUUGGUUUGAUCUGAUUAGUGUGCGAUGCAAUUAAGUUUCAAUUUGUGUUUUUCGUCUAAAANAAAAAAAAAAAACCUUGUGAAAUCGUUGACGCAUAGUUUUAUUUGGCCGGACCCGGUAAGUAGGUUUAUAAACUAUGAAAUCUGACGAAGAGGAGUGACAUUCAUGAAGAGAAGGAUGGGAGAUCGAAAGAAAGACGGAGGAAAUGCGAAGAAAUCGAAGAAGACGGAGUCGAAUUGGCCACUCAUUAAGCCUAAAUCUAAUCUCCGUGUUACUCGCCUAAAAGAUUACGAUCUAUUUACUGUAUGUUACCUAUGUAUUUCUUCCCCAACCAAUUUCUGUGUUUAUAGUCAGUUUAACUUUAUCUUUUUUUCUCAUUUAUAUUGGUUUGAUCUGAUUAGUGUGCGAUGCAAUUAAGUUUCAAUUUGUGUUUUUCGUCUAAAAAACUAAUAUCAUUUUAGACUCUUCUGGAUCCUCCGUACUUGUUAUUUUAGUCGAAUCUUCACAAGCUUUGUAACUCAUCGGUAUAAGAGUAACCAGUUCUUCUCAGACCACAUCAACAUAUUAAACGUCUAUUGAAAUCUGCUAUCGACAUGAGCCAAAUUGAAGUUAUGAACUUAAAGUACUUCAUUUUAGGGCUUUAAUUGCGCUGACGAGUAUUAGAUGCAGCAAAUAUCAUACGAUCUAAUUGAUGGUGUACUUGGAUGUCCAUUAAUAAAGUGAUCACUGCAGAAUCAUAAUUAGAGUUAGGGAUAGUUGUAAAACCUCCUGGAUAUUGUAUGCUCUAAGUGGUUCCUGUUUUGUUUAAGAUUCUCA